RNAcentral lists this transfer RNA (62 nucleotides) under Clostridium tetani. It matches the Rfam family "tRNA", at positions 6 to 65 of the family's 71-position model. Rfam says of the family: Transfer RNA (tRNA) molecules are approximately 80 nucleotides in length. Their secondary structure includes four short double-helical elements and three loops (D, anti-codon, and T loops). Lineage: Bacteria; Bacillati; Bacillota; Clostridia; Eubacteriales; Clostridiaceae. The record is from RNAcentral.
UGGUAGCUCAAUGGUGGAGCAUUCGGCUGUUAACCGAAGGGUUGAAGGUUCGAAUCCUUUCC